UCCCUGAUGGCUCAGAUGGUAAAGAAUCUGCCUGCAGUGCAGGAGACCUGGGUUUGAUUCCUGGGUUGGGAA
RNAcentral lists this transfer RNA (72 nucleotides) under Capra hircus (goat). It matches the Rfam family "tRNA". Rfam says of the family: Transfer RNA (tRNA) molecules are approximately 80 nucleotides in length. Their secondary structure includes four short double-helical elements and three loops (D, anti-codon, and T loops). The record is from Rfam by way of RNAcentral. RNAcentral also lists the same sequence under 1 other name. Lineage: Eukaryota; Metazoa; Chordata; Mammalia; Artiodactyla; Bovidae.